UACGUAGGUGGCAAGCGUUGUCCGGAUUUAUUGGGUUUAAAGGGUGCGUAGGCGGCCCUGUAAGUCAGUGCUGAAAUAUCCCAGCUUAACUGGGAGGGUGGCAUUGAUACUGCGGGGCUAGAGUACAGAUGAGGUAGGCGGAAUUGACGGUGUAGCGGUGAAAUGCUUAGAUAUCGUCAAGAACACCUAUAGCGAAGGCAGCUUACUAGGCUGUAACUGACGUUGAGGCACGAAAGUGUGGGGAUCAAACAGG
RNAcentral lists this ribosomal RNA (253 nucleotides) under uncultured bacterium. RNAcentral's name for it is "partial 16S ribosomal RNA". It matches the Rfam family "Bacterial small subunit ribosomal RNA", at positions 524 to 776 of the family's 1533-position model. The record is from RNAcentral.